CUUCCAUCUCUUCUAUUCCAACAUAUCCCUUCUUCAAACUUUGAACAAUAGCUCUUUUCAAUUUCUUAUUUAUUUAUUACACUUCAGGUAUCAAAUUGCACGUGGUAAUUGAUUUUGAGCAUGGUGACGUGAGGUGUUUCAUGUGGACCAGCAUUUGGAUAGGGUCGUGCAUUGCCGCAAAGUUAGGUGGAGGAGUUGCGUGUCUCGAUAGCGAGCGCUGAUCGUUAUUCCAGUAGGGCUUCGGAGUCAGCAAGGUAGCUGCUUGGCAUUCGCAGCCAUGCACUUCUCCUUCUUACCUUACUCAGACUGUUUUUAGUAUCUCUAUUUCCGAACUAUGAUAGCCUUGUCGUACUUAAACAGACCUUGUAGUUGCUCGUGACUUGUGACACCCUGAUGUCGGGCUUGUGUUAUUUUUCUUCCGCACUGGUUAUUGAGA
Nicotiana tabacum (common tobacco) is the source of this 436-nucleotide non-coding RNA. The record is from RefSeq and is a predicted model, not a curated record. Lineage: Eukaryota; Viridiplantae; Streptophyta; Magnoliopsida; Solanales; Solanaceae.